This 2569-nucleotide long non-coding RNA is filed under the name Dasypus novemcinctus (nine-banded armadillo). Its description in RNAcentral is "lncRNA (ENSDNOG00000052039.1)". The record is from RNAcentral. Lineage: Eukaryota; Metazoa; Chordata; Mammalia; Cingulata; Dasypodidae.
CGACAGGACUUCCCGGGUGUCCCCCGGCCGUGGACAGGCCACCGCCCCUGGGGUUCCUCAGCUUCUCUGCCAGGCGGGGGGACUGGGGAGGACGGGCACCGCCUCCAGAGGCGGCUGGGAUUCGUCCGCUCGCUGCCCCCGCAGCUCUGUCCCCCAGCAGUGUCCUCCAGGCUAAGAUCCUUUCGCCCUGCGGCCGGCACAGGGGCCGGGGGGGACAGACACUGGGCCUGGCCCGUGGUCCCGGACAAGGCCUCUGCGGGCCUCCCGCGAGUCACCAUGCGCGGGUCAGCGGUCCCCGGCGGCAGUCCAGGAGGGAGGGGAGGAAGGGGGGGAGCAGCGAGCCUUUCUUCAGUCCUCUGGGAAAAUGUCCUCGCACCACCUGUCCGCAGAGUCAGGACACGCCCUCCCCGGGCGUCCACUCCCGAAUCCCAGAACCCAUAAACACGUCACCAGUUGCAAGGCUCUUAUAUUGAAUCGCCACAGCCUGCUGUAAUCUGCGCGGUCAGGAACGGGGAAAGAAGUCAGAGUGGGCCCGUCUCCCGCACCUUGGUGAGGCCAGCUGGCAGGAGGGAAGGGCCUGGGGGCCGGGGGACAUUAGAACACUGCUCUGGGGACGCCAAGAACCAGGCGCAGACAGACAAACUGACCACCUCCUGGUCCCCAGCCCCACGCUGUGUUAAUCGGCUCUCAGGCACCAGCAGCUCUGGGGAGCUGGACUUCGGAGACAGCGAGAAUCCAGGAGCAGGUUCAAGCCUGAGCUCCACUGGCUGCUGGUGAUUCCGGGCAAGCCGAUUUACCUCUCCGAGCCUCAGUUUCCCCAAAUGUGCAGGGUGUGAUGGCGGCCUCCGGAGCUGUUCCCGGGAAGGCCCCUCCCGGAGGCCACGGCCAGGAGCACCAGGCGCUCCGCGGGGCCAUCCCAGCCCGGAGACCGGGCCCCGUGUCCCCAUCUUCAGCUGCCACCCGGCAGGGCCAUGUUCCUUUCCGCUGGAGCGGGGUGUCCUCGCCAUGCUGCCCGGGAGCCCGGCUCCACGUCCUCACCUGCCCCAGCCGAAAAGAAAACAGACAGGUAUGAGUGUUUCUAUUUAAGUUGUUUAUAAAAACGGAAGUGUUCAUUACAGAAACUUUGAAAAUACAGAAGAGCACAAAAACAUAUUACCCAUAAGAUAAUUACUGAGUAUGUUUUGUUGAAAGUCCUGGUAUAUUUUCAAAAUCAUAUAUGUAUGUGUGUGUGGUCAUACUAUUGGUAUUUCAGAAUCUUUGUUUAAUAUGGUGGUGAGCAUUUUAUGUCAUUAAAUAUUAUUCUAUAAGGAUUUGAAAAAUAAAAUGCAAAUGCCAAUUAAUCUUCUCAUCAGCUUUAUUGAGGUACAAUUUACACGCAGGAAGACUCCUCUCACUUGUACUGUCUGAUGAGUUUUGACAAAGGCGUACAGCCGUCACCACCGCCGGGAGAGGAAGCAUCCGUCAUCACAAGGUUUUCCUCGGCUCUGCCUGCAGUCGGCCUCAGCGUCCCGGGUCCCUGGCAGUCACUGAUCUGAAUUCUGUCACUGUGGAUGAGUUUCCUCUUUGUGAGAAUUUAAUAUAAAUGGAAGCAGGGAGUGUGAAGUCCUGCUCAGCACCGUUAUCUUGAGAGUCUUCUAUGUUGUGGGGUUUAUCGCUAGAGCGCUCCUUUCCCGCUUCUGUCAUUCCGGUGAAUGCCCAUCACGGGUUGUUUGUUCAUUUGCCUGUUGAUAGACAAAUGGGUUGUUUCUGAUUUUUUGGCUCUUGUGAAUAAAGCUUUGUGAGUGCCUUUUUUUUUUUUUAACUUUUAAUAAGAAUCUCCAGUGGCGCCCGUUAUGGACUAGCCGCUGGGGUGGGCAUGGCCUGAGAGCGGUGGAGUGUCCCACCCUGUGGACGGCUUGCAAUUUUUGCCACUGUUGUCGGCCAUUUAGUCACUUAGUUGUGGUUUUUUAGUAUUCCAUUUUUAAAUUUUCUGUUUGAGAGAUUGUGAGUUUACAAAACAAUGAUGCAUACCAUGCAGGAUUCCCAUGCGUGGCCCCACCUUCACCUUACAUUGUUGUGACACAUUUGUUACAAAUGAUGACAGCACACCGUCAAAACAGUACUGCUCUCUCUAGUCCAUAGUUCAUAUUUGGUAUAUUAUUCCCACAAACCAUCCUAUUAUUAACUCCAUGUGUAGCAGUUUGAUAUAAUUGAUGAAUUCCAAAAAGAAAUAUUGGAUUAUGCUUGUAAUCUGAUCUGCACCUGGGCAUGACUGAGUCAGGAUUCGGGCAAUUAGGGGGUUGAGUUCCCGCCCCUUGGUGUUGGGAUUUAAAAAAAGGCAUGGCAAAGAACAGAGUUGGGGGCUUUUAAUGUUGGAGUUUUGAUUUUGGAGUUUGAUGCCGAAGACUUAAGCUGGAGCCCUGGGAAGUCAGCACGCAGCCUGACCCCUCGCAGACGUCUUGCUCCAAAUAGACUUUGGUGAGGGAAGUAACUUCUGCUUUAUGGCCUGGUAUCUGUAGGCUCCUACCCCAAAUAAACACCCUUUAUAAACACCAACCCAUUUCUGGUAUUUUGCAUCAGCGCCCCCUUG